RNAcentral lists this ribosomal RNA (2905 nucleotides) under Escherichia coli DEC13E. Its description in RNAcentral is "bacterial LSU rRNA". It matches the Rfam family "Bacterial large subunit ribosomal RNA". Lineage: Bacteria; Pseudomonadati; Pseudomonadota; Gammaproteobacteria; Enterobacterales; Enterobacteriaceae. The record is from RNAcentral.
UUAAGCGACUAAGCGUACACGGUGGAUGCCCUGGCAGUCAGAGGCGAUGAAGGACGUGCUAAUCUGCGAUAAGCGUCGGUAAGGUGAUAUGAACCGUUAUAACCGGCGAUUUCCGAAUGGGGAAACCCAGUGUGUUUCGACACACUAUCAUUAACUGAAUCCAUAGGUUAAUGAGGCGAACCGGGGGAACUGAAACAUCUAAGUACCCCGAGGAAAAGAAAUCAACCGAGAUUCCCCCAGUAGCGGCGAGCGAACGGGGAGCAGCCCAGAGCCUGAAUCAGUGUGUGUGUUAGUGGAAGCGUCUGGAAAGGCGCGCGAUACAGGGUGACAGCCCCGUACACAAAAAUGCACAUGCUGUGAGCUCGAUGAGUAGGGCGGGACACGUGGUAUCCUGUCUGAAUAUGGGGGGGACCAUCCUCCAAGGCUAAAUACUCCUGACUGACCGAUAGUGAACCAGUACCGUGAGGGAAAGGCGAAAAGAACCCCGGCGAGGGGAGUGAGAAAGAACCUGAAACCGUGUACGUACAAGCAGUGGGAGCACAGAGCAAUCUGUGUGACUGCGUACCUUUUGUAUAAUGGGUCAGCGACUUAUAUUCUGUAGCAAGGUUAACCGAAUAGGGGAGCCGAAGGGAAACCGAGUCUUAACUGGGCGUUAAGUUGCAGGGUAUAGACCCGAAACCCGGUGAUCUAGCCAUGGGCAGGUUGAAGGUUGGGUAACACUAACUGGAGGACCGAACCGACUAAUGUUGAAAAAUUAGCGGAUGACUUGUGGCUGGGGGUGAGAGGCCAAUCAAACCGGGAGAUAGCUGGUUCUCCCCGAAAGCUAUUUAGGUAGCGCCUCGUGAAUUCAUCUCCGGGGGUAGAGCACUGUUUCGGCAAGGGGGUCAUCCCGACUUACCAACCCGAUGCAAACUGCGAAUACCGGAGAAUGUUAUCACGGGAGACACACGGCGGGUGCUAACGUCCGUCGUGAAGAGGGAAACAACCCAGACCGCCAGCUAAGGUCCCAAAGUCAUGGUUAAGUGGGAAACGAUGUGGGAAGGCCCAGACAGCCAGGAUGUUGGCUUAGAAGCAGCCAUCAUUUAAAGAAAGCGUAAUAGCUCACUGGUCGAGUCGGCCUGCGCGGAAGAUGUAACGGGGCUAAACCAUGCACCGAAGCUGCGGCAGCGACGCUUAUGCGUUGUUGGGUAGGGGAGCGUUCUGUAAGCCUGCGAAGGUGUGCUGUGAGGCAUGCUGGAGGUAUCAGAAGUGCGAAUGCUGACAUAAGUAACGAUAAAGCGGGUGAAAAGCCCGCUCGCCGGAAGACCAAGGGUUCCUGUCCAACGUUAAUCGGGGCAGGGUGAGUCGACCCCUAAGGCGAGGCCGAAAGGCGUAGUCGAUGGGAAACAGGUUAAUAUUCCUGUACUUGGUGUUACUGCGAAGGGGGGACGGAGAAGGCUAUGUUGGCCGGGCGACGGUUGUCCCGGUUUAAGCGUGUAGGCUGGUUUUCCAGGCAAAUCCGGAAAAUCAAGGCUGAGGCGUGAUGACGAGGCACUACGGUGCUGAAGCAACAAAUGCCCUGCUUCCAGGAAAAGCCUCUAAGCAUCAGGUAACAUCAAAUCGUACCCCAAACCGACACAGGUGGUCAGGUAGAGAAUACCAAGGCGCUUGAGAGAACUCGGGUGAAGGAACUAGGCAAAAUGGUGCCGUAACUUCGGGAGAAGGCACGCUGAUAUGUAGGUGAAGUCCCUCGCGGAUGGAGCUGAAAUCAGUCGAAGAUACCAGCUGGCUGCAACUGUUUAUUAAAAACACAGCACUGUGCAAACACGAAAGUGGACGUAUACGGUGUGACGCCUGCCCGGUGCCGGAAGGUUAAUUGAUGGGGUUAGCGCAAGCGAAGCUCUUGAUCGAAGCCCCGGUAAACGGCGGCCGUAACUAUAACGGUCCUAAGGUAGCGAAAUUCCUUGUCGGGUAAGUUCCGACCUGCACGAAUGGCGUAAUGAUGGCCAGGCUGUCUCCACCCGAGACUCAGUGAAAUUGAACUCGCUGUGAAGAUGCAGUGUACCCGCGGCAAGACGGAAAGACCCCGUGAACCUUUACUAUAGCUUGACACUGAACAUUGAGCCUUGAUGUGUAGGAUAGGUGGGAGGCUUUGAAGUGUGGACGCCAGUCUGCAUGGAGCCGACCUUGAAAUACCACCCUUUAAUGUUUGAUGUUCUAACGUGGACCCGUAAUCCGGGUUGCGGACAGUGUCUGGUGGGUAGUUUGACUGGGGCGGUCUCCUCCUAAAGAGUAACGGAGGAGCACGAAGGUUGGCUAAUCCUGGUCGGACAUCAGGAGGUUAGUGCAAUGGCAUAAGCCAGCUUGACUGCGAGCGUGACGGCGCGAGCAGGUGCGAAAGCAGGUCAUAGUGAUCCGGUGGUUCUGAAUGGAAGGGCCAUCGCUCAACGGAUAAAAGGUACUCCGGGGAUAACAGGCUGAUACCGCCCAAGAGUUCAUAUCGACGGCGGUGUUUGGCACCUCGAUGUCGGCUCAUCACAUCCUGGGGCUGAAGUAGGUCCCAAGGGUAUGGCUGUUCGCCAUUUAAAGUGGUACGCGAGCUGGGUUUAGAACGUCGUGAGACAGUUCGGUCCCUAUCUGCCGUGGGCGCUGGAGAAUUGAGGGGGGCUGCUCCUAGUACGAGAGGACCGGAGUGGACGCAUCACUGGUGUUCGGGUUGUCAUGCCAAUGGCACUGCCCGGUAGCUAAAUGCGGAAGAGAUAAGUGCUGAAAGCAUCUAAGCACGAAACUUGCCCCGAGAUGAGUUCUCCCUGACUCCUUGAGAGUCCUGAAGGAACGUUGAAGACGACGACGUUGAUAGGCCGGGUGUGUAAGCGCAGCGAUGCGUUGAGCUAACCGGUACUAAUGAACCGUGAGGCUUAACCUU